The submitters of this non-coding RNA (81 nucleotides) gave its source as unclassified sequences. The record is from Rfam.
AAAGAACGUCGCCGGAUUAACACGAGGGUGUUUCACCAGCAUGCUUGUCAUGUGGUAGUCGUGCCGGGGGUUCUUUCUUUU